This 487-nucleotide ribosomal RNA is filed under the name uncultured bacterium. Its description in RNAcentral is "bacterial SSU rRNA". It matches the Rfam family "Bacterial small subunit ribosomal RNA", at positions 30 to 507 of the family's 1533-position model. The record is from RNAcentral.
AUUGAACGCUGGCGGCAUGCCUAACACAUGCAAGUCGAACGGUAACGACGGGAGCUUGCUCCCGGGCGACGAGUGGCGGACGGGUGAGUAAUACUUAGGAAUCUGCCCAGUAGUGGGGGACAACUCGAGGAAACUCGAGCUAAUACCGCAUACGCCCUACGGGGGAAAGUGGAGGAUCUUCGGACUUCACGCUAUUGGAUGAGCCUAAGUCGGAUUAGCUUGUAGGUAGGGUAACGGCCUACCUAGGCAACGAUCCGUAGCUGGUCUGAGAGGACGAUCAGCCACACUGGAACUGAGACACGGUCCAGACUCCUACGGGAGGCAGCAGUGGGGAAUAUUGGACAAUGGGCGCAAGCCUGAUCCAGCAAUGCCGCGUGUGUGAAGAAGGCCUGCGGGUUGUAAAGCACUUUCAGUAGAGAAGAAAGCUUACGGUUAAUACCUGUGAGUCUUGACGUAACCUACAGAAGAAGCACCGGCUAACUCCGUG